Molecule: long non-coding RNA, 2706 nt
Filed under: Homo sapiens (human)
Lineage: Eukaryota; Metazoa; Chordata; Mammalia; Primates; Hominidae
Description: non-protein coding VIM-AS1:11
Source: RNAcentral
GUAGUUUCAAAAUAGAACUCAGUGAUCAGUGGUUUUUACCCUGGUGGAAGUCAUUAAAGGUAUAAUAUGAGCCAGUUAAAGAAUUAAUUAGGUGUUGCUUAAAAACCCCAAUUUGAUUAAUGAGUUCAAAUGAAAGGCAAUUAUGUAACACAAAUGACAGAAUCUUUGGCGGCAAUAGAUUUAUGUGUUAAUUUUAGGACAGCAAUGCACAGUACAGGGUUCACGGUGAUUUGUCUGGGAAAUGCCAUAGGUCCUGUUUUCCAAAAGAAUUCGUGCAAUUGACCUUGGGGUGAGGGGGAUAAAACUGUCUACGCAGCAAAAAACUUCGUGUCCAAGACAUGGAGGGAGUGUUCAGAUUCGGUCACCUUAACCUUUCUAGGGAAAUCACUCAAUUCAAGGGCUGUUGUUUCAAUAUUAGUAACGAGCAGAGCUGAGUACUUACCCGCCAAGGGAGAUAAAAGGAGACUAUGUAAAUCAGUCUUCUCGUGAUUUAGUAGCAAUUGAAAAGGCACAGGUUUUUUUGAGUAUUUAGAUUUAUGGUGUACUGAAAGGAUUAACUGCAGAACCACUGUAAAAUUGAUUCUGCAGUGGAUAGGAGAAAAAAAAGUAUUUCUCUCUUUUUUUUUGGUGGCGGCAGGGGGUACUGCAGGUUACUUGGUAUUUAAGAAACAUAAUUUAGAGGUAAAUGAAGAGCGUAUUCUGACUUCUUUGGACAAGCCUCUUUUAGGCAAUAUUUUGUUUACCUUAUCCCAGUUCGUUCUUGCAAAUGGUGCUUGCCAAGGUGGAAUUACAGGACUCUCUACUGCCCAGCUCGCCUGCUGGGGCUUUCUUUUAUUCUCUCUUUCACUGGGAGGCUGCAGGUCAUUCCCCAAGAGCAUUCCUGGGGCUGGGUGCCCUGGAGGACAAGCCUAUGCUCUGAGUUACAUCUUGCUUUCUGAGAGCCCUUUAUUCAAGCCACUGCUCAGCAAAUGCCACCAUUGUGAGUGUGCCUGGAACCCUUAGAAUGAGAAAAGUGAUCUCCCUAUGGGAGGAAGAGAGUGUGGAACUCACUUCUACGUGCAGUGCCGAUCCCAGGGCAAUGCGACGCUUGCUGACUGACUCACUAUGGAAAAGGAGGACAAGGCAUUGGCGAGGUGUGGCACUGUGCCCUGCUGGUGCCCAUAGCCGAUUCCUCAGGGCUGCGGUGAUGUCUCCUGGAAUGGGCACUGGUCCUCUUCAUCAUCUCAGGGAUAGACAGCAAAGCUCCCUUUGGAUGACAUAGAUUUAUUACUUAGUAGUAUAUUAUGUAUUGGCUGUCCCACAUUUUGAAAUUUAAUGGACUCGUGGUGAUCAGAAUAAAAGAAGCCUUCGAUGUGAGGCCCAGGCAUUGAGUACCAUGUGUGCGAUUCACAAGCCUUGGCAUCUGAACAAUUUUUUGGAAGGAUCCAUCAGGACAACACGUCGGGGGUGUACUAGUGAAGUGAUUUUCCAAAUGUGCUACUCAGACCUGUAGCAUCAGCAUCACCGGAUAAUUUGUUAGAAAUUCCAACUGUUAGGCCCCACUUUAGACCAACUGAAUGUGAAACUCUGGGAGUACGUGGGGCCCAGCAAUUUGUGUUUUUACAAGACUUACCAGGUGAUUCUGAGAACCACUGUGCUAGUGAAUUGUUCCUGUCUGUGGCCACGUAGAAUAAGAAAACCAUAGGGUUGGAAAAUGGGGAAACUGGUGAGUGUUCGCUUAUGAGGAAAUGAAGAAUAGAUAGAAAAGAAUUAGUUAACUUUUGGAAUUCAAAAGAGAAGCAGUUUGUAAAAGCCAGGAAUUUGAUUUGAAGGACUAAUUGCUUGCAGAAUCUUUGCUUUCUCAGAGAGGGGCAAUCCAGAUCACUAGGUUACCGUGAAAUAUGUUGGUAUGGCUCUAAAAUUCUAGAAUAAUCUCUCUAGUGAGAAAAGGCAUACCUUUCCAUAUUAGGACAAAACUUCAAAUCAGGUUUGUAAAAUCCUAUAAGAUUAUUGUAUCCCAUUGCCAUGGCCAACUUGUUUGUCUCUGGAGAUCCCAGUUUCUACAUCUGAAAACCAUAUGCAUUCCUGCUCACCAGGAAUUAUCUCGCUGAAUGAAGCAAGAGAUUCAGGAUGUGUAAGAGAAUUUAUGAAGCAUUUGGAUUACCAAGAAAUGUGAAGUAUAAAGAUCAAGAAUGAUUAUUACAAACACUGAUGGUAAAGAGGUGUUUCGAAGUCGAUGCAAAAAAUGAGUUGCUUAUUUCAGUCUCUCUUUGAUAUAUCUGCCUUUUUAGUGCUGACUCUAUCAUGUAUUCACUAUUUGAUUUUCAGUGAAUCACAUUUUUUAAAGCUUUUAAUCUGUUUCCUCAAAAAAUAUAUUUUUUAAAAAUAUUUACUCAGGAUUGUUGUGAGAAUAAAAUUGAUUCGAUUGAUAUUUCAAAAAAGAAAUAUAUUUUUAAAAAAUAAAGCAAUACCAUUUUUGGAUAUGCUAGUGCUCUGACUGUUAUUUUAUGUCUGGGUUGAGGAAUCCUAAAGGACUGUUGACAUAAUGACAUCAUCCAGGGGUUUGGAAUAAGAGUAUACAUCAGCAAGUUUUCUGAUUACAAAAAGUAGCUAUGUUUACUUUUCUGUUAAUUCUCCUUCAGUGGAAUGUUUCAAUUUUCUCAUGAGAUGGGGGAGAUCCAUUUUUUUGAGAGCUCUGUUUUAUUAAAGAAAGCAAGUCUGGUGGCU